GUAGGGAAUCAAUAUACUCAUAUGUAGGUAAGCUACUACUCACACUCAACGGCUUAUUUGUCUCGCGGUCAUCAUUCAUAUGCACUAAGGUGUAAGAUUUAGCUAUUUUACCUUGACUUUCAUGAGUAUGUUCGUUUUUACCUCGGUGUAAGAGUCCUUCACAAGCUUGGGCAACAACUUCCUCUAAAAAAUUCUCAUCGCAAAGUGCUUGCACAAUUGAAUUUUGUGGGAAGAGUUUGGGUAGCAAUUGACAUAUAAUUUCAAUGUGUCGUUUCAUAUCUUCAAUAUUGUCAUCUAUGCGAUCAAAUGUGACAUUGAAAUUAUGGGAAGCCAUUGUACCUACCAAAAAGACACAACAAACAAGGAAAAAAAACAAAUUUGUUAGAUAAAAAAGGCCUCACCACACUCUCACUCUCAGUUUCACCUCGCACUUGGUUUCAUAAGUGUUGAAAGUUGGCUUGUACUUCAUGAGUGAUUGAGGGUCGGGCCGACUCUUGUUCAGAAUGGAUUUUUGUUUGAAACUCAAAUGAAAUCUUGUAGGACUUGAUUCAAGAACUAACAAGGAAUUCAAAAUGAGAAAAACACACAACAAAUGUAAACAUGAACAAAUGGAUACAAAACUAACUUACAAGCUAGUAGAAGAUUACUAGAUUGUCAAUUAGUGUUUGACCCAAAAAAAUGAAACUAAAAAAUCUAAAAUUUGAGCUUAAUUAUGUUGCGGUGAACAGUAAAAUGUGAUGAUGAGGCAGCCACGUAAUUGGUCAUGGUCCCCGCACAAUUCUUGGUCAAUUUUUCAAUUUGGACUUUGGUGGAAUUUAUUUAAGGAGGGAAAUUCAAACAAGUCUUUUAGCCCCUUUUCAAUUCCAAGUUUUCAAGACUUGACUUUCUUGUCUUUUCUCCUCAAAACAUGGAAUUUGGUUUCCCUUAAAUCAUGGAAAGUUGGUGAGAAGUGAUGUAAAGCUUUUUUGGUGGUUGGGGGUCUUUCAAGACUAACAAUUACUUACACCUUUUUCUUCACCUUUUUGGAUCAAAUAAGCACUUUAUUUUUUUUUUAACAAGGUAUGAAGAUAGUGAUGAACAUCAAGAACAACAACAACAUUCACCAAGAACAACAACAACAAUUCCAAGAAUAACAAUAAUCUUCCAAGAACACCAACAAUUCCUCUUUCACGUCCCACUCUAUAUCCACAACAAUAUUAUCUUCAACACUUGGCCAAGACAACUACAACUGCAAUUAAAUGGUUCUUAGGCCACCAAUUAACAACAAAAUCACGUGGUCAAGCUAAGAACAACAACAAGGUGAAGACCAUACACCCAAAGUGGAGCCACAACAACAAAAAUGUCCAAAACACUUUCAAGUCACCACAACAAUGGUCAAGAUUAUAAGCUCAACAUUAGAUCUAGUCACUUUUAGUGUCGGUGAGAAAGGAACCAACACUAGAAACACACUAAACAAGUAAAAGACUACUAAAUCUAGUCACAAAACUAACAAAUCUUGGCCCACAACAAAAACACAAUUUUGGCCAAGAACACAACCACAGACAGAUUUGCUUCUUCUUUUUUUUUUUCAGCUUUUCAACAAUUUUUUUUUAAUUUUCUAACAAGCAAGCCCAAGAUUGAUCUUGUAGGAAUAAGAUCUAGCCAUGCUUAAGAUGGACCACUCUUGGAUUCAACAAAUACGAGAAGAAAAAGAGAUAAAAAGGUGUGUUUCAACACCAAAACAACUACAAAACCUGAUGAACAAGAUGGACACAAGAUUUGGAUUCAACAAGAACAAAAGAGAACAAGAUACAAACACUUACAAAAUUGCAAGAAAGGUAAAGAUAGAUAGUGUGACAUAGAUUACUACAAUAACAAAGAAACUAAGUGUAGAUCCAACACUAAGACCCUUAAUAUAUGUAAUAACAACACCAACACUUUUAAGUGGACACAACAGGGAUUUCAACCUCCCCAAGCACCUACGUUUCCAAUCCUUGAAUGCAACACAAGUGAAAUCUACACUUGUAUCACCCUAGUUUCGGGUUGGUGGUCUUCUUUCCUUAGAGAGGAAAAUGUUUCAAAUAUUAUACACUCAUCAUAUUUAUCAAAAUCUGAAAAUGAAACCUUACAUUACUCUAUUUAUAGUGUAUUAUAAAUAAUAG
This 2141-nucleotide long non-coding RNA is filed under the name Capsicum annuum. RNAcentral describes it as "long non-coding RNA (CANN_LNC020319)". The record is from RNAcentral. Lineage: Eukaryota; Viridiplantae; Streptophyta; Magnoliopsida; Solanales; Solanaceae.